Molecule: ribosomal RNA, 469 nt
Filed under: uncultured bacterium
Lineage: Bacteria
Description: partial 16S ribosomal RNA
Rfam family: Bacterial small subunit ribosomal RNA
Source: RNAcentral
GAUGAACGCUGGCAGCGUGCUUAACACAUGCAAGUCGAACGGUGAACACGGAGCUUGCUCUGUGGGAUCAGUGGCGAACGGGUGAGUAACACGUGAGCAACCUGCCCCUGACUCUGGGAUAAGCGCUGGAAACGGCGUCUAAUACUGGAUAUGUGACGUGACCGCAUGGUCUGCGUUUGGAAAGAUUUUUCGGUUGGGGAUGGGCUCGCGGCCUAUCAGCUUGUUGGCGAGGUAAUGGCUCACCAAGGCGUCGACGGGUGGCCGGCCUGAGAGGGUGACCGGCCACACUGGGACUGAGACACGGCCCAGACUCCUACGGGAGGCAGCAGUGGGAAAUAUUGCACAAUGGGCGCAAGCCUGAUGCAGCAACGCCGCGUGAGGGAUGACGGCCUUCGGGUUGUAAACCUCUUUUAGCAGGGAAGAAGCGAAAGUGACGGUACCUGCAGAAAAAGCGCCGGCUAACUACGUG